Molecule: ribosomal RNA, 306 nt
Filed under: uncultured Peredibacter sp.
Lineage: Bacteria; Pseudomonadati; Bdellovibrionota; Bacteriovoracia; Bacteriovoracales; Bacteriovoracaceae
Description: bacterial SSU rRNA
Rfam family: Bacterial small subunit ribosomal RNA
Source: RNAcentral
GAGAGGUGCUGCAUGGCUGUCGUCAGCUCGUGUUGUGAAAUGUUGGGUUAAGUCUCGCAACGAGCGCAACCCCUAUCGUCUGUUGCCAGCAUUAAGUUGGGCACUCUGACGAGACUGCCUGGGUUAACCAGGAGGAAGGUGGGGAUGACGUCAAGUCCUCAUGGCCCUUAUGUCUAGGGCUACACACGUAAUACAAUGGCGCGUACAGAGGGAAGCGAACUCGCAAGGGGGAGCAAAUCUCAAAAAGCGCGCCUCAGUUCGGAUUGAAGUCUGCAACUCGACUUCAUGAAGUUGGAAUCGCUAGUA